AGAGUUUGAUCCUGGCUCAGAACGAACGCUGGCGGCGUGGAUUAGGCAUGCAAGUCGAACGAUCUGUUGUAAUACAGAUAGUGGCAAAAGGGUGAGUAAUACGUGGGUAAUCUGCCCUAAAGUUGAGAAUAACCAGCCGAAAGGCUGGCUAAUACUGGAUGAGACCACACUAUCUUCGGAUAGAGAGGUUAAAGCUGGGGACCCCAACAGGGCCUGGCGCUUUAGGAUGAGCUCGCGCCCUAUCAGCUUGUUGGUGAGGUAAUGGCUCACCAAGGCAUUUGACGGGUAGCUGGUCUGAGAGGAUGGUCAGCCACACUGGGACUGAGACACUGCCCAGACUCCUACGGGAGGCUGCAGUCGAGAAUCUUUUGCAAUGCGCGAAAGCGUGACAAUGCGACGCCGCGUGAGCGAUGAAGGUCUUCGGAUUGUAAAGCUCUGUCAACCUGGAUGAAAGUCUUAUAUUUAAUAAACUUAAGACCUGACGGUACAGGUAGAGGAAGCCACGGCUAACUCCGUGCCAGCAGCCGCGGUAAUACGGAGGUGGCAAGCGUUGUUCGGAUUUAUUGGGUGUAAAGGGUAUGUAGGUGUCCUAACAAGUCUUUUUUGAAAUACAUCGGCUCAACCGAUGUCCUGGAAAGGAAACUGUUAGGAUUGAGUAUUGGAGAGGGAAGCGGAAUUCCUGGUGUAAGGGUGAAAUCUGUAGAUAUCAGGAGGAACACCAACGGCGAAAGCAGCUUUCUGGCCAAAUACUGACACUGAAAUACGAAAGCUAGGGGAGCAAACAGGAUUAGAUACCCUGGUAGUCCUAGCCGUAAACGAUGGGCACUAGGUGCAUGGUCUUCAUUGAUUGUGUGCCGCAGUUAACACAUUAAGUGCCCCACCUGGGGAGUACGACCGCAAGGUUGAAACUCAAAGGAAUUGACGGGGACCCGCACAAGCGGUGGAGCAUGUGGUUUAAUACGACGAUACGCGUGGAACCUUACCUGGGCUUGACAUGUAAGUAGUACUAAACCGAAAGGUGGAGGACCGGUUCAGUCCGGAGCUUACACAGGUGUUGCAUGGCUGUCGUCAGCUCGUGUCGUGAGAUGUUGGGUUAAGUCCCGCAACGAGCGCAACCAUUGUCUUUAGUUGCUAAUCUUUUAGAUGCACUCUAAAGAGACUGCCAGUGUUUAACUGGAGGAAGGUGGUGACGACGUCAAGUCGGUACGGCCCUUACGCCCAGGGCUACACACGUGCUACAAUGGCUGGUACAAUGAGACGCAAUACCGCGAGGUGGAGCAAAUCUCAAAAAAACCAGUCUCAGUUCGGAUAGUAGGCUGCAAUUCGCCUACUUGAAGCUGGAAUCGCUAGUAAACGCAAAUCAGCCACGUUGCGUUGAAUACGUUCCCGGGUCUUGUACACACCGCCCGUCAAGUCACCUGAGUCGAGUGCACCCGAAGAGGCUGCUCCAACCCGUAAGGGAGGAAGGUUUCGAAGGUGUGCUUGGUGAGGAGGACUAAGUCGGAACAAGGUA
This 1513-nucleotide ribosomal RNA is filed under the name metagenome. RNAcentral's name for it is "bacterial SSU rRNA". It matches the Rfam family "Bacterial small subunit ribosomal RNA". The record is from RNAcentral.